UUCAGGGAAAAACUGUUUUAAACUUAAAAAUUAAAUUUAUUUUAAUUUGUGAAGAAACAAUUAUUUAAAUUAAGGACAAGAAGACCCUAAGAAUUUUAAAGAUAAUAAUUUUAAUAUUAAAAUUAUUAUCUUUUGGUUGGGGCAACUAAAAAAGAUUAUAAACUUUUUAUUUAAUAAAAUGACCCAUUAUUAAUGAUAAUUUGAUAAAAAUACUCUAGGGAUAACAGCGUAAUAAUUUUUGAUAGAACAUAUAGACAAAAUAGUUUGCGACCUCGAUGUUGGAUUAGGAUACUUUUUUAAUGAAGAUGUUAAAAAAAGAAGUUUGUUCAACUUUUAAAGUCCU
RNAcentral lists this ribosomal RNA (343 nucleotides) under Dermacentor andersoni. RNAcentral describes it as "partial 16S ribosomal RNA". The stretch from base 220 to 343 matches the Rfam family "Bacterial large subunit ribosomal RNA", at positions 2473 to 2597 of the family's 2925-position model. The record is from RNAcentral. Lineage: Eukaryota; Metazoa; Arthropoda; Arachnida; Ixodida; Ixodidae.